UAUUUUCCUUGUGUGCCAGCCGCCGCGGUAAUACGGAAGGUCCGGGCGUUAUCCGGAUUUAUUGGGUUUAAAGGGAGCGUAGGCCGGAGAUUAAGCGUGUUGUGAAAUGUAGACGCUCAACGUCUGCACUGCAGCGCGAACUGGUUUCCUUGAGUACGCACAAAGUGGGCGGAAUUCGUGGUGUAGCGGUGAAAUGCUUAGAUAUCACGAAGAACUCCGAUUGCGAAGGCAGCUCACUGGAGCGCAACUGACGCUGAAGCUCGAAAGUGCGGGUAUCGAACAGG
RNAcentral lists this ribosomal RNA (284 nucleotides) under Segatella copri DSM 18205. RNAcentral describes it as "Prevotella copri DSM 18205 partial 16S ribosomal RNA". It matches the Rfam family "Bacterial small subunit ribosomal RNA", at positions 493 to 776 of the family's 1533-position model. The record is from RNAcentral. Lineage: Bacteria; Pseudomonadati; Bacteroidota; Bacteroidia; Bacteroidales; Prevotellaceae.